RNAcentral lists this long non-coding RNA (3084 nucleotides) under Homo sapiens (human). Its description in RNAcentral is "HSALNT0309823". The record is from RNAcentral. Lineage: Eukaryota; Metazoa; Chordata; Mammalia; Primates; Hominidae.
GACGAGACUGAACAGGGAAAAACACCGAAGGAUGAAAGCAAACAAGAAGGACGUGGUGAAGGUGGGUGUUCACACAGUGGGCCAAAUGGAGGAGCAAGCUUCAGGGAGAAGACACCCAAAGGACUAUUGUUACUUCCUGUCGCCGUAAACAUCCUCAUCCACGCUACCAUUUAUUUCCUGUCACCGUAAACAUCCUCAUCCACGCUACCAUUUAUUUCCUGUCGCCGUAAACAUCCUCAUCCACGCUACCAUUUAUUUCCUGUCACCGUAAACAUCCUCAUCCAUGCUACCAUUUAUUUCCUGUCACCGUAAACAUCCUCAUCCAUGCUACCAUCUAUUGGGUACCUAGAGAUGCCAAUGCUGUACCAGCAUUUUACAUGGCUUAACCCAAAUCCUCACAACAACCUAGCAAGAUAAAUAUGACUUUCAUUUUGCACAGAAGAGCAAGGCUUGGUGAGGUGAAGUUGCUGCCAAGCACGCACCAGAGCCAGGUCACCAGCACCCACAGCCCUGCCCCUGCACUGGCCAAGGCCAUGCGUCUCCAGGUCCGCAGCUGGGGGUCUGUCCCCAGAAGAGGUCUGGGAAGCAGCAGCCUGUUCUCAGAACCAGAAUUAGACAAGGGAGCCAAGAGAAACCACAGCAGUGAGAAGAGUGGCACGGACAGAGCCCCGGGCUGGACUCGGAGAAGAGGGGCUGGGAGGGAGGGGAGGGGAGGGGAGGGGAGGGCUCAAGAGGGCAGAUCACAGAGGCCAGAGCAGCAGCGUGGGUGAAAGUCGGGCCCCCAGGCUGAGUCAGCAGGGUGGUGGGGUGGCUAGCACAGACCGCAGGGAAGCUGAGCGGACGGAUGAGAGCUGUAGGGGCUAGAGCAAGAAAAUCAGUUUCAGCAGUUUUUGUUUUUGUGUUGUUUCUGUUUUUUAGAGAGAUUUCAAGAUGUUUAGAAGCUGAAGAGAAAUAUCCAAUAGAACAGAACAGAGGUUGGCAAACUUUUCCUGUGAAGGGUCAAAUAGUAAAUAUUUCAGGUUUUGGGCCACAUGGUCCCCACUGCAACUCAACUCUGUCAUGUAGGACAAAGGCAGCUACAGACGACACAUAAGCAAAUGAGCACAGCUCCAUUCCAAUAAAACUUUAUUUAUAGAAACAAGAGGCAGGGGAUGUUUGCACACACGUUUGUAGCAGCAUCACGAACAACAUAAAGAUGGAAGCAAAAGGUAGAAGCAACACAAAUGUCCACUGACAGAUGAAUAAGUACAGCAUAUCCAGAAAACGCAAUCAAAUUCAGCCUUGAAAAGGAAGAUGCUGGCACAGGCCACAACAUGGAUGGACCUUGAGGACUUUAUGCAAAGUGAAAUAAGCCAGUCACCAAAAGGCAAAUGCUGUACGAUUCCACGUAUAGGAGGUCCCUAGAGUAGUCAGAUUCAUAGAGAAAAUAGCAGAAUGGCAGCUGCCAGGGCCUGAGGAAGGGGAAGAGGGACCUAAGGCCACAGUCUGCCGACCCUGGAGUAGACGGAGAUGAAGAUGACAAGACAGAAGCCAGGGCCCUGAGGAUGGGAUUGAGAAUAAGAACUCAGAAACCCUUUCAUCCAGGGAGAUGGGGAGAGGACGCAGGAGGGAGGAAGGAGCUCCUGAGAGGAGGCCUGCAGCCCCGCAGGCCCAGGAGCAGUACACCGCUCACAGCCAGAAAGGAGAGGCCAGGAGGCAGGGCAGAGCCCUGGCAGGGCAGGCGCUCAGGGAGAGGGUGGGAGCCACAGCUCUGGGAGGCAGGGCCAAGGUGGCCAAGCAGCACUGAGCUCUCGCCCAGGUUGGAUCCCCCCUGCACCCUCCCCAAGCUUCACGGCCUGGGUACAGGAAGGGGUGACAAGCCAUGCAGCAGGCAUCAUGGGUCAGUGGACAGGGGACAGGCAGUUCCCUCCAGCACGGAGGGCACGACAACCACUGCAGGGCAGGCAGAGCCCACCAGCGCCCACCAGGCUCUAGGGCAACCAAACUAGAUCUGAAGGGAAACUCCACGGCCCUUCUUAGACCAACCCCCUUCGAUAUUUCACGCUGUUUGGUGGCUCUGAAGAUGCAUGGAGGUUCUAGCGGGGAAGAGCCCAUUUUCACUUCCUCCAUACUCUGCACACAGGGCAUCCAGGCCCAGAAGAGCUCAACGCUGCCUGGCAUGGAGAGGUUGGCGCAGGCUGAGGCUGCUGGGCUCUGAGGACUCAGGGUGUGCAGCCUGGAACCUGCACCUCCUAAUGAAAUAUGGCCUAAGCAGACACCAGGAUCCAGAGCCCAGCCACUCCUCUCCCCAAUGCUGAGGCCCUCCCGAGAGCCCAAGGCACGGCAUGGAGCUCGUGCGUGACUGCGAGCAAAUGCCCUGGCCUCAGGCCACCAGGUCAGGUGCAGCAGGUCUGUGAGGGACCCCGUGUGCCUCUCCUGUGGGGGCAGCAUCAGCUUCCCUCCUAGAGAACCACAUGGAGCAGAUAUGGGCGGUGCAGCAGAGCACUGCAGCAGAGGGCCAGGAGGGUCCAAGCAGUGCUGUGAUCAUCCGACUCUCUAACCAUGAACUCACCUAGAGAUGCAUUCCAACCACACCUCUCUAAAAUACAUGUAGGUGUUAGUGGAAAACACCUGCUAUCUAUUUCUGACUUAAUAAAGUCUAUUUCAUACACAUAGACACAUUUGGUUUACAGGCAGAUGAGACAGUGAUCGGGCACGUCAGCAGACAGUCUCCACUCAGGCCCUACAAAUGAACCACAAUCUUCCUUUCCGUUUUGCUUUCCUCUCUAAAGUCCCCCGAGAGGAGGCCCUGCCCAGGCCGGCCCCCGACUCACAGGCUCCCCAGACUGCAGAGAUGCAAACUCAGCCACACACCCAAGGACGCCGCUUCUCCCCACAGCAGAGCAGAGGCUCAGCUGGCCCACUCCAGUGACAUGGAGUCUGGCUGGUCAGCGACAGCCCCUCCAGCCAAGGGCUCCACCUUCAGCACGAAUCCUCUGCCUCGGGACUUUCUCUAGUGCUUGAUUUCUUGUAUGGUCAGCCCCGCGGUAUUUUAUUGAAAUAGAUAUUAUUCCUGUCAUCAAAAUAAAUAAACCUAACUAAAAA